CCUACGGGCGGCAGCAGUGAGGAAUAUUGGUCAAUGGGCGCAGGCCUGAACCAGCCAAGCCGCGUGCAGGAAGACUGCUCUAUGGGUUGUAAACCUCUUUUAUAAAGGAGGAAUAAUGACUACGUGUAGUCAGAUGCCCGUACCUUAUGAAUAAGCAUCGGCUAACCCGGUGCCAGCUGCCGCGGUAAUACGGAGGAUGCGAGCGUUAUCCGGAUUUAUUGGGUUAAAGGGGUGGGUAGGCGGUAUAUUAGGUUAAGGGUAAAACGUCGGGGCUAAACCUUUAUUCGCCAUUAAAACUGGAGUUCUAGAGUACAGACGAGGUAGGCGGAAUAAGUGAAGUAGCGGUGAAAUGCUUAGAGAUCAAGUAGAACACCGAUAGCGAAGGCAGCUUACCAGACUAUAACUGACGCUGAAGCACGAGAGCGUGGGGAGCGAACAGGAUUAGAUACCCGAGUAGUC
Molecule: ribosomal RNA, 459 nt
Filed under: uncultured bacterium
Lineage: Bacteria
Description: partial 16S ribosomal RNA
Rfam family: Bacterial small subunit ribosomal RNA
Source: RNAcentral